UGUUGUUUUUUAAUUGACAGAAGAGAAAACAGAGAUGGAUGUGUUAAAGUACUAUGAUGAGGAAAAGAGUUCAGAAUCAGCAAAAUGCUCCAGGAAAGAUUGCUAAAGCAGACACAAAGCCAGUCUACAUUAAAGUGCUGACAUGUCAGACGGAGGAGGGAGCAAUAUUUGCUCUGUAAAGCCUGGGGAACAUCUUUUAAAACUCAUAGCCAUCAUUAAGCAUGACAGCUCCUGUCUAUUUUAAUGAGAAGAGGUCAGUGCAAAAAGGAGAGUUUUUUUUCAAUUUUUUGGACGGGGUGAUACUGCAGUAUACUUGAAGGACUAUGUACACGAUAGAUACACAAAUAUAAAUGAUGACUUUUCUCUAUGGUUGCUCAGGACGUCUAUCUGUCUUUAGUGUUUCUGUCUCAGCAACAUAAAAUAAUUAUACUGUAUUUAGGAUUGUGGAUUAGUUUAGAUUAAUCGUGAUUAACUACCAGCAGGGAUUAAACCAAAGCUACGCUGAGAUUACUCAGAUAAAAAAAAGACAACCCUUGUUUUAAUGCAUUUCAUCCUAAUUGGAUCCCAGUCCCUUGUCCACUCUGGUCACGUCCAGAGAAAAAUUUCAGAAUCUUUGACGAUGGCACCACCAGCUCAGUUUCCUGUUGAAUUAUACAGUGCAACUGCUUCCCUACCAUACAUCAAGGUCCUUACCCAGGUGUAGCUCUCUUUUCCCUUUUGCUGCUGUCUCUCUGUCCUACAUCAACCUGACCCUCAUCUCUAUCCUGUCUACACCCUCUCCGUCGCCUGCCUGCUGUCCUUUUGUGGAUGGCUGACUUUAGAUUUUCAAACUUUUUAUGAAUAGUAGUUUUGGAAUAUUAAAAAUGUUAUAAAAAUACAAUACACCUAAUGAUACAGAUACAGAAUUUUGCUAUAAAUGUCCAUGAUUUUUUAAUUACAGUGCAGCGUGACUUGUGUAAGGGCUGCAGGACUUUGCUUGUGGAAAAGUUAAACAAACAAUGUGCUAUUCAAAACAAGCUAUUAAUAGUAAAAAAAAAAAAAAAAGAAGAAGAAGCAGAUCAUGCUGGGACUUUUAAUUAGGGCUUUAAUGAAUCCGAGUGAGCUGGGAAAGUCAUCCAGUCAGACCUACUCAUGUCACACCAGCCUUAGGCAGUGCAGGGUUUGCAUCAGAUACAACCUCCUGUACUCAGUUAGCAAAAAUAAACAAAUAGAAAUAUGUUUUCCAACCAUGCUGGUUCUUCUACAUGAAAAACGUUCUUAUCAGAUUCGGGUGUUUUACUGCAUUGCGAUUUAAGCAACAGUAAAAACAACAGUGUAAUGGCCCAGCUGCAGAUGAUCAUAGUGUAUUCAUCUAUUUCAAAAUAUGCAUUUGCAGAGUUUUCAUUUUCAUGGUUUCUGUGACUGCGCUGCUUGUUGGAGUAUAAAGGCAACAACUGGGAGGGACAGGCCAUCCAGAAGAGCAACGCGUGAGCUGAAAAUAGGCGUCAAUUAGCUCAUAUUGUUUCAUUAAGAACCAAACACUCCUCAUUUGCCUUCGUUUAUUAAUUCACUGCACAAUUACGGUGUCAGCAGCUGUUGUCUCUGCUUCACAGGACUUGAUUUGCAAUAAGUUUAUAGGUCUAAGAUGUGAAAUUGUGCACGUGUUAUUAGACACGUGUGCACAUGCAUAUUGAAUCAGUGCUGGUCUGUUAUUUUAAUAUAGUAAUUGAAUAUUCGUAAAUAAUUUACGAAUAGUUUGACGCCAAGCCUUGACACUGACUAUUGUGGAGUAAUUAUUUUUGGUAAUGUGUUGUAAUUUGUUCCACAUUUAAUAUACUUUGAAACUCCAUGAACCUUCUUCUGUGACACCGUGUUCUAAUCAUAAAAACACUUAGACGAGGCACUCUAACUCAUGACGGGGGUUUUUUACUCUUGCACACAGUGUUCCUCGAUCAUGAUUUUUUAUUCAGCUCUGCUGUGAAUGUGAUCAGAUGCUGUGACUCACUGACAUAAAUGAAUAUAAUAAUGGGAAAAGCAAGUACGGAGAGGGCCUGAAGGUUUGAAAAAGUUUUAAAAAUUUGUACCGACCUCCUCCACAUCUAUGCACCACGUCAACACACACAUUGAAGGACUUAUACUUUGUGGCUUUGAGUAACACAGCAGGCAAGAAUUCACAUUUUUAUUUAAGCAAUGUGAUCAGAUGUUGACUUACACUGAGGAUAUUUUGGCUUUAUUCUAGAUAUGACUGUGACCAACAGGAGGCGCAAACAACCAGUAAUUCCAAAAGGGCAAGAUUUUUCCAUUUUAAUAGCUGUGAGACGGCUGGAGCCAAUCCCAUCAUUCAUCAGGUGGGAUCAGUCCCUGGAAGAAAACUACACAAACAACGGCCAAGUCCAUACACUUCUGUCGAGUGGACAUCCUGAGCCCCGGAGCAAAUCAAAAUUUCAGACUGGACUUUCAGCAUUAGCAUGGAUGACUACAGGAGGAUGGACUUUGUGUUCAAACAAUCAGAAAUGUUGGUGAGUAAAAUACAUUUUGCCUAUUUAUUAAUAUUGUAAUUUGUUAAGUUAGUUGUAAAAUUUGUAAAGUUAUUAUUAAUGUUUUUUGUUGUGUGUGACUGAAUUGUGCUACUUGGGUUUGUUGCUUCAGUAAUGGUUGUUGUCAUGACUACAUGAGUUGUCUUGGCUGUUAUACUACAUUUCUUUAUCAUUUUGAUGGUUUCUAAAGCCAUAAUGAUGUUAUUAAGAUGUGGAUUUAUUCAGGUAGAACGCCACUGGAGGCCUUGGUGUGAAAUACACGUUUGGAGUAAAAACAUUUGUUUUCGAACAUUUUUAAACUUAUCAUUAAAUUGGCAGCUUUACAUACAUAAGAUAAAACUGAACU
This is a long non-coding RNA of Cynoglossus semilaevis (tongue sole), 2862 nucleotides long. RefSeq lists it as uncharacterized. NCBI's taxonomy places the organism in Eukaryota, Metazoa, Chordata, Actinopteri, Pleuronectiformes, Cynoglossidae. The record is from RefSeq and is a predicted model, not a curated record. The transcript has 3 exons.